This 468-nucleotide ribosomal RNA is filed under the name uncultured bacterium. Its description in RNAcentral is "partial 16S ribosomal RNA". It matches the Rfam family "Bacterial small subunit ribosomal RNA", at positions 28 to 507 of the family's 1533-position model. The record is from RNAcentral.
GACGAACGCUGGCGGCGUGCUUAACACAUGCAAGUCGAACGGAAAGGCCCUGCUUUUGUGGGGUUCUCGACUGGCGAACGCGUGAGUAACACGUGCAUAACCUGCCCUUGAUUUUGGGAUAUUUUCCUGAAACUGGGGCUACUCCCAGCUAGGAGCUCCUCCUGCAUGGUGCUGGUUGGAACGUUUCGGCGGUUGGGGAUGUACUCCCGGCUUCUCAGCUUGUUGGUGGGGUAGUGGCUUACCAAGGCUUUGACGGGUAGCCGGCCUGAGAGGGUGACCAGCCACAUGGGGACUGAGAGACGGCCCAGCCUCGAACGGGAGGAAGCAGUGGGGAACAUUGCACAAUGGGCGGAAGCCAGAGGAAGGAACGCAGCGUGCGGGAUGAGGGCCUUCGGGUUGUAAACGGCUUGCGCAUGUGACGAAGCGUGAGUGACGGUAAUGGGAAAAGAAGGACCGGCUAACUACGUG